CCUGGACCGUUCUCUGCUCUCUCAGGCU
This 28-nucleotide small RNA is filed under the name Arabidopsis thaliana (thale cress). RNAcentral's name for it is "ATSL121790". Lineage: Eukaryota; Viridiplantae; Streptophyta; Magnoliopsida; Brassicales; Brassicaceae. The record is from RNAcentral.